This 425-nucleotide ribosomal RNA is filed under the name uncultured bacterium. RNAcentral describes it as "partial 16S ribosomal RNA". It matches the Rfam family "Bacterial small subunit ribosomal RNA", at positions 354 to 796 of the family's 1533-position model. The record is from RNAcentral.
GUGGGGAAUCUUGCGCAAUGGGCGAAAGCCUGACGCAGCCAUGCCGCGUGAAUGAUGAAGGUCUUAGGAUUGUAAAAUUCUUUCACCGGGGACGAUAAUGACGGUACCCGGAGAAGAAGCUCCGGCUAACUUCGUGCCAGCAGCCGCGGUAAUACGAAGGGGGCUAGCGUUGCUCGGAAUUACUGGGCGUAAAGGGCGCGUAGGCGGACAGUUUAGUCAGAGGUGAAAGCCCAGGGCUCAACCUUGGAAUUGCCUUUGAUACUGGCUGGAUUGAGUACGGGAGAGGUGAGUGGAACUCCGAGUGUAGAGGUGAAAUUCGUAGAUAUUCGGAAGAACACCAGUGGCGAAGGCGACUCACUGGCCCGUUACUGACGCUGAGGCGCGAAAGCGUGGGGAGCAAACAGGAUUAGAUACCCUUGUAGUCC